GAUUUAGCGUAGGUGGAAACAUAGUAUAACAAUCUCUAACAAUAAAUCGUUCCUAAAUGAUUUGUAAAAAAUCCAACGAUUUCUAACAAUGACACUUCAACAAUAAUUUUUGACAUAACAACGAUCGUUGACUAUUGUUAGAAAAAGAACGCACCUCAGAACAUUUUUCAUGAAUUGUGAAAACGUAUUUAUUUCAGUGUGAACUCAAAUUAUACAGAAAUCCACGUAUGUUUUGUAUUUCAAAACAGAUAUUGGGAACUAAAUUGAUAGAAUAGUCGUACGCUAUGGUUUGAUGAGGAAUCAAUUGCUAACACCGAUCUCUAUGCCACUGUACCUACAUACCUACUUGUUUUCAAGAAAACUGAAGGAUGCAAGCCCUACGUUUCAUUUUGCAUGAACACCGAAAACGAAGUACCACCCCCAAAUUUUUUUUGCUCAUUCGAUAGAGCAUUGGCUGAAUAUCAUUACCCUGAUUUUUCGCACUCGCAAAAUUCACCUUUUAGCCGCCAUCUUGGAUUUUACUUUUCGUUGAAUAUCUCGAUUUCUAUUUAUCCUACAUAAAAGUUGUGUAUACAAGAAACGUAGGCAAUUAAAUUUCGCGUCUUUUAUGUUAAGAACACUUUUUCGAUAUUCUGACUAUUAAAAAAGUUACAAGGCAAAAAAGUAAAAAAACCGAAAAAAAUGACAAUUUUAAA
Molecule: long non-coding RNA, 695 nt
Organism: Episyrphus balteatus (marmalade hoverfly)
Lineage: Eukaryota; Metazoa; Arthropoda; Insecta; Diptera; Syrphidae
Exons: 3
Source: RefSeq, a predicted model, not a curated record